This 767-nucleotide unclassified non-coding RNA is filed under the name soil metagenome. RNAcentral describes it as "partial contains internal transcribed spacer 1, 5.8S ribosomal RNA, and internal transcribed spacer 2". The stretch from base 143 to 296 matches the Rfam family "5.8S ribosomal RNA". The record is from RNAcentral.
CCGAGUUUUCAACUCCCAAACCCCUGUGAACAUACCUUACCGUUGCUUCGGCGGCGCGCCCCCAGGGCGCCCGCCGGGGACCACCAAACUCUUGUUUUCCGAACUGGAUUCUGAGCAGCCGCAAGGCAAACAAAUACAUUAAAACUUUCAACAACGGAUCCCUUGGUUCUGGCAUCGAUGAAGAACGCAGCGAAAUGCGAUAAGUAAUGUGAAUUGCAGAAUUCCGUGAAUCAUCGAAUCUUUGAACGCACAUUGCGCCCGCCAGUAUUCUGGCGGGCAUGCCUGUUCGAGCGUCAUUUCAACCCUCGGAACCCCCGCGGCCCAGCGCCAACGGGGAGCCGGUGUUGGGGAUCGGGCCCCGCCCCCCGGGGCAAGCCCGUCCCUCAAAUACAGUGGCGGUCCCGCCGCGGCCUCCCCUGCGUAGUAGCACACCUCGCAGGCCGGAGAGCGGCGCGGUCCGGCCGUGAAACCCCCACCAUCUCAAGGUUGACCUCGAAUCAGGUAGGAAUACCCGCUGAACUUAAGCAUAUCAAUAAGCGGAGGAAUCGAUGCCUUGGUCAUUUAGAGGAAGUAAAAGUCGUAACAAGGUCUCCGUUGGUGAACCAGCGGAGGGAUCAUUACCGAGUUUACAACUCCCAAACCCCUGUGAACAUACCACUUGUUGCCUCGGCGGAUCAGCCCGCUCCCGGUAAAACGGGACGGCCCGCCAGGGGACCCCUAAACUCUGUUUCUAUAUGUAACUUCUGAGUAAAACCAUAAAUAAAUCA